Molecule: ribosomal RNA, 1595 nt
Filed under: Halticus comitans
Lineage: Eukaryota; Metazoa; Arthropoda; Insecta; Hemiptera; Miridae
Description: SSU rRNA
Rfam family: Eukaryotic small subunit ribosomal RNA
Source: RNAcentral
UUUGGAUAACUGUGGUAAUCCUAGAGCUAAUACAUGCAAUCAAGUCCCGACCAGUUCUGCUGGGAAGGAUGCUUUUAUUAGAUCAAGACCAAUCGCCCGGCUUUGCCGAGCGUUUCCUUGGUGACUCUAGGUAACACAUCAGAUCGCAUGGUCUCGCACCGGCGACUUAUCUUUCAAAUGCCUGACUUAUCAACUGUCGAUGGUAGACUCUAUGUCUACCAUGGUUGUAACGGGUAACGGGGAAUCAGGGUUCGAUUCCGGAGAGGGAGCCUGAGAAACGGCUACCACAUCCAAGGAAGGCAGCAGGCACGCAAAUUACCCACUCCCGGCACGGGGAGGUAGUGACAAAAAAUAACGAUACGGGACUCAUAUGAGGCCCCGUAAUCGGAAUGAGUACACUUUAAAUCCUUUAACAAGGAUCCAUUGGAGGGCAAGUCUGGUGCCAGCAGCCGCGGUAAUUCCAGCUCCAAUAGCGUAUAUUAAAGUUGUUGCGGUUAAAAAGCUCGUAGUUGGUUCUGCGUGCUACGCUGUCGGUUCGCCGCCUGCCGGUGUAACUGGCAUGCCGUGGUAUGUCCUGUCGGUGGUGCGUGGGCGCCUUGUCUAGGAGGUCGCUCGCCUCGUAAGAGACGGUGCAACAGGCCGGAGGUUCAACCCACGCGCCUACUCUAUCCUACCUAGGUGCUCUUCACCGAGUGUCGAGGUAGGCCGACACGUUUACUUUGAACAAAUUAGAGUGCUCAAAGCAGGCUGAAAUUUCUGCCUGAAUAGUGGUGCAUGGAAUAAUGAAACAGGACCUUGGUUCUAUUUUGUUGGUUCUUAGGAACACAAGGUAAUGAUCAAUACGGACAGGCGGGGGCAUUCGUAUUGCGUCCUCCGAUGAGGCGGGGCCGGGAAACCAAAGCUUUUGGGUUCCGGGGGAAGUAUGGUUGCAAAGCUGAAACUUAAAGGAAUUGACGGAAGGGCACCACCAGGAGUGGAGCCUGCGGCUUAAUUUGACUCAACACGGGAAACCUCACCAGGCCAGGACAUUGGAAGGAUUGACAGAUUGAUAGCUCUUUCUUGAUUCAGUGGGUAGUGGUGCAUGGCCGUUCUUAGUUGGUGGAUCGAUUUGUCUGGUUAAUUCCGAUAACGAACGAGACUCUAGCCUAUUAACUAGGCGUUUUCCGGUGUCCCCGCCACCGGCGACAUUCAUUCUUCUUAAGGGGACAGGCGGCUUAUAGCCGCACGAGAUUGAGCAAUAACAGGUCUGUGAUGCCCUUAGAUGUCCUGGGCCGCACGCGCGCUACACUGAAGGAAUCAACGUGUGCCUCCCUGGCCGAAAGGCCCGGGUAAUCCGCUGAACCUCCUGCGUGCUAGGAAUUGGGGCUUGCAAUUGUUCCCCAUGAACGAGGAAUUCCCAGUAAGCGCGAGUCAUAAGCUCGCGUUGAUUACGUCCCUGCCCUUUGUACACACCGCCCGUCGCUACUACCGAUUGAAUGAUUUAGUGAGGUCUUCGGACUGGCGGUAAUCCCUAUCGACUCGUCGGUAUCGAUGAACGCUGGAAAGAUGACCAAACUUGAUCAUUUAGAGGAAGUAAAAGUCGUAACAAGGUUUCC